This 270-nucleotide non-coding RNA is filed under the name Neurospora tetrasperma FGSC 2509. RNAcentral's name for it is "Eukaryotic small subunit ribosomal RNA". It matches the Rfam family "Eukaryotic small subunit ribosomal RNA", at positions 1563 to 1831 of the family's 1831-position model. The record is from Rfam by way of RNAcentral. Lineage: Eukaryota; Fungi; Ascomycota; Sordariomycetes; Sordariales; Sordariaceae.
UGUCGUGCUGGGGAUAGAGCAUUGCAAUUAUUGCUCUUCAACGAGGAAUCCCUAGUAAGCGCAAGUCAUCAGCUUGCGUUGAUUACGUCCCUGCCCUUUGUACACACCGCCCGUCGCUACUACCGAUUGAAUGGCUCAGUGAGGCUUCCGGACUGGCCCAGGGAGGUCGGCAACGACCACCCAGGGCCGGAAAGCUAUCCAAACUCGGUCAUUUAGAGGAGUAAAAGUCGUAACAAGGUCUCCGUUGGUGAACCAGCGGAGGGAUCAUUA